UACAGAGGGGGCAAGCGUUAUUCGGAAUUGUUGGGCGUAAAGGGCGCGUAGGCGGCCUUGCAAGUGGCGGGUGAAAUCCCUCGGCUUAACCGAGGAACUGCCUGCCAGACUGUGAGGCUCGAGACCGGGAGAGGUGAGUGGAAUUCCCAGUGUAGCGGUGAAAUGCGUAGAUAUUGGGAGGAACACCAGUGGCGAAGGCGGCUCACUGGACCGGAACUGACGCUGAGGCGCGAAAGCGUGGGGAGCAAACAGG
Molecule: ribosomal RNA, 253 nt
Filed under: uncultured prokaryote
Description: partial 16S ribosomal RNA
Rfam family: Bacterial small subunit ribosomal RNA
Source: RNAcentral